AUGAUAGGUUUUGAAAAAGAUUUUUCAUGUCAUUCCCAUUUAGGUUCGAUUCGGAUCCCUCUGUUGUUUCCCUUUCCUCCCGAACCUUUUCCUCAAAAUGAUAAAGAAUCUGGUACACUCGAAUUGUAUUAUUUAAGUGCUUAUUGCUUGCCAAAAAUCCUACUUCUACAAUUGGUAGGUCACCGGGUUAAUCAAAUAAGUCGUGUUUUCUGUGCUUUUCCCAUGUUACAACUUCCGUACCAAUUCGAUCGAUCCGGAAUGGAUCGGUUAAACAUUCUAUUAGGGGGCCCGGUCUUGACUCUUCUGUGUGGUAUUCAUUCUCGUUCGGCUCUUGGAAUCACAUCCAGCAGUGGUUGGAACAGCUCGCAAAAUCCAACCACUUCACCUACUUUAUUGCCAACCGUUUCCCGUACCUCUAUAGAAACAAAAGGGUUUCAUGUUCUUUCAUCGAUUGGGUAUUCCUCUCCUUUUGUAUCUCUUUAUCCAAUUUCGGUCUCGAUUAGUUCACAAGAUUGA
Molecule: ribosomal RNA, 516 nt
Filed under: Triticum aestivum (bread wheat)
Lineage: Eukaryota; Viridiplantae; Streptophyta; Magnoliopsida; Poales; Poaceae
Description: partial small subunit ribosomal RNA
Source: RNAcentral